CAAUAGCGUAUAUUAAAGUUGUUGCAGUUAAAAAGCUCGUAGUUGGAUUUCUGGUCUUUGGAUGCCUGGUUUUGCCUUAUAUGGCAUUGUGCCGGUGCGUCCAGGCCUUUCUUCUGGAGAUUGCCUCUUCUUUUAACCGAGCGGGGGUAGGAUCCAGAUCUAUUACUUUGAAAAAAUUAGAGUGUUCAAAGCAGGCAUUUCUGCGCAUGAAUACAUUAGCAUGGAAUAAUAAAAUAAGACUUCGGUUUUAUUUUGUUGGUAUGAAAUCGAAGUAAUGAUUGAUAGGGAUAGUUGGGGGUGCUAGUAUUGAACGGCCAGAGGUGAAAUUCUCAGAUUCGUUCAAGACUAACUUAUGCGAAAGCAUUCACCAAGGAUGUCUUCUUUAA
Molecule: ribosomal RNA, 386 nt
Filed under: uncultured eukaryote
Lineage: Eukaryota
Description: partial 18S ribosomal RNA
Rfam family: Eukaryotic small subunit ribosomal RNA
Source: RNAcentral